UACGAAGGGUGCUAGCGUUGUUCGGAAUCAUUGGGCGUAAAGCGUGCGUAGGCGGCUUAAUAAGUCAGCUGUGAAAGCCCAGGGCUUAACCCUGGAAUUGCAGUUGAAACUGUUAGGCUAGAGUAUGAAGAGGGAUAGUGGAAUUCCUAGUGUAGGGGUGAAAUCCGUAGAUAUUAGGAGGAACACCGGUGGCGAAAGCGACUAUCUAUGUCAUUACUGACGCUGUUGCACGAAAGCGUGGGGAGCAAAC
This 250-nucleotide ribosomal RNA is filed under the name uncultured bacterium. RNAcentral's name for it is "partial 16S ribosomal RNA". It matches the Rfam family "Bacterial small subunit ribosomal RNA", at positions 524 to 773 of the family's 1533-position model. The record is from RNAcentral.